Molecule: ribosomal RNA, 383 nt
Filed under: Iurus dekanum
Lineage: Eukaryota; Metazoa; Arthropoda; Arachnida; Scorpiones; Iuridae
Description: partial large subunit ribosomal RNA
Source: RNAcentral
UAGUCUUAUAAUUCAAGACUGGAAUGAAUGGUUCAACCAAAGUAAAUUUGUCUUUUAGUAAUAUUUUGAAUUUUAUAUUUUAGUGAUAAAGCUAAAAUUANAUAUGAGGGACGAGAAGACCCUAUCAAGUUUUACAAAUUNUANNNUAUUAUUUUUNAUUUUNAAUAAAUUAUNUUGNUUUAGCUGGGGCAGUUAAUAGAAUAAAUUCUAUUUUUUUAUUGUNNAAUUUUAAAUUUCGUUUUACCCUGNAAUUUUGGAAUUAAAAAUAAAUUACUGUAGGGAUAACAGCAUAAUUUUUUUAUAGAGUCCUUAUCAUAAAAGAAGUUUGUGACCUCGAUGUUGGAUUAAGAGACCCGUUUAACGCAAAAGUUAAAUUAGGAAGU